This 120-nucleotide ribosomal RNA is filed under the name Aspergillus oryzae RIB40. RNAcentral also lists the same sequence under 2 other names. The record is from RNAcentral. Lineage: Eukaryota; Fungi; Ascomycota; Eurotiomycetes; Eurotiales; Aspergillaceae.
ACAUACGACCAUAGGGUGUGGAGAACAGGGCUUCCCGUCCGCUCAGCCGUACUUAAGCCACACGCCGGGAGGUUAGUAGUUGGGUGGGUGACCACCAGCGAAUCCCUUCUGUUGUAUGUA